RNAcentral lists this ribosomal RNA (498 nucleotides) under uncultured bacterium. RNAcentral describes it as "partial 16S ribosomal RNA". It matches the Rfam family "Bacterial small subunit ribosomal RNA", at positions 27 to 507 of the family's 1533-position model. The record is from RNAcentral.
GGACGAACGCUGGCGGCGUGCCUAAUCCAUGCAAGUAGAACGCUGGAGAGAGGAGCUUGCUCUUCUUGGAUGAGUUGCGAACGGGUGAGUAACGCGUAGGUAACCUGCCUUGUAGCGGGGGAUAACUAUUGGAAACGAUAGCUAAUACCGCAUAACAAUGGAUGACCCAUGUCAUUUAUUUGAAAGGGGCAAAUGCUCCACUACAAGAUGGACCUGCGUUGUAUUAGCUAGUAGGUGAGGUAACGGCUCACCUAGGCGACGAUACAUAGCCGACCUGAGAGGGUGAUCGGCCACACUGGGACUGAGACACGGCCCAGACUCCUACGGGAGGCAGCAGUAGGGAAUCUUCGGCAAUAGGGGCAACCCUGACCGAGCAACGCCGCGUGAGUGAAGAAGGUUUUCGGAUCGUAAAGCUCUGUUGUAAGUCAAGAACGAGUGUGAGAGUGGAAAGUUCACACUGUGACGGUAGCUUACCAGAAAGGGACGGCUAACUACGUG